Molecule: unclassified non-coding RNA, 519 nt
Filed under: Hevea brasiliensis (rubber tree)
Lineage: Eukaryota; Viridiplantae; Streptophyta; Magnoliopsida; Malpighiales; Euphorbiaceae
Source: RNAcentral
CGGUCUCUUCUAGUUCACAGCACGUAUGAUGAGUUUGAUAAACUUUUGGUGUCAAUGCAUAUUUAUUUUACUGCAAAUGCUGCAUCUUAAUGUUUUUCCUUCUAUUUUCAGACAUUGUUGAAAGUUUUGUCUCAUGUAGUUCUACAUUGAGAGUGCAUUUAUAUCUAUCAGUUAAAUUCUUCUGAGAAUGAUUUUACAAUGUUUGUUUUAUUGUGGAAAGUCAAUAUCUCGUUGUUUUACUUAUCCACCCCAUUGUCUUGACAAUUGAACCUGGAACUCCAGAAGUUUUAUUUAGGACACAGGUUACUAAACUUCCAAACAUUUCAAUUUAGGGUUUUCCAGAAGCACUGCUUGCCCAACUUUUGAAAGUAAUGUUGCAUCCAGAUGUUGGGGUGCGAGUUGGAGGGCACCAGAUAUUUUCAGUGCUUCUCAUUCCUAGCUCUAAUCAUUCCCAGCUCUAAUCAUUCCCGCCAUGGAGUUGUGUCUUUGCAAUCUGGUUAUAUUUGUGAACCAAGAAGA